GUAGGUAUAGCUUAGUGGUAGUGCGCAUGCUUAGCACGCACAAGGUCCUGGGUUCAAUCCCUAGUACCACCA
RNAcentral lists this transfer RNA (72 nucleotides) under Camelus bactrianus (Bactrian camel). It matches the Rfam family "tRNA". From Rfam's summary of the family: Transfer RNA (tRNA) molecules are approximately 80 nucleotides in length. Their secondary structure includes four short double-helical elements and three loops (D, anti-codon, and T loops). The record is from Rfam by way of RNAcentral. Lineage: Eukaryota; Metazoa; Chordata; Mammalia; Artiodactyla; Camelidae. RNAcentral also lists the same sequence under 2 other names.